AUAUCCAUGUAACAUUUAAAAUUUAUUUCCGCUAUCAAAGGACCCUGGUAUUCCGUAGGCCAACGAAGGCCCAAGCCCAAACCUUCCCAAAACCCUUUCCCCGUUCUGGUCUUUCUCUCCCGUCUCCGAGCGCUGCCACCGCCCGCCGCCAGCGCCGGCGCGCGAGAAACAAGAGGAAGAAGAAGCCAACCGAUCCAGCAGCGAUGGCAGUCGGGGGCCUGUUGGGGGGCGCUUUCUGGGCGACGCGGGCGCUGGAGGUGGUCAAGCGGAACGAUUCCCCGGGCCUGCUGUGGAAGCGCAUCAAGCUCACGACCACCCGCAAGAACAACGCCAAGAAGCGCCUUAAGCGGCUCUGGCAGAAUGAGGCGGUUAUAAGGGCUUGUGGUGAAUCAGAAUCCAGAUCAGCGUCUAACGUGGCUUCCACCACUGAGAAACAACAGUAGCCUUUGACUAUUUCCCCCAGUUUGCUGUCAUCAGAUUGAAAGCCAAGUGCGUGUAUAAAUCUUACUUUCUUCAACAUCAUUCGUUGCUACCAUAUGCAACCUUGCCCCCUCCCGAACUCCGGCGUUAUUUUUAUUUCACUGUUUUCAUGUUACUUCUGGAAAAACUACUUGGGAUUGUUUUCUUUCCUCAAUUAUUCUGCAUAUGCUGAUUGAUAUUGCCUGCGGUAAUGUAAUGCAUUGCACCCGUUGCUGUCGCUGGCAUGAGCUUGCCACCAUUUUUUGAAGCUUGCAAUCAAUUGACAUGUGGUGUGUUGUGUACUAGUUACGUGCCGUACGCAGCGUAC
Molecule: long non-coding RNA, 787 nt
Organism: Zea mays
Lineage: Eukaryota; Viridiplantae; Streptophyta; Magnoliopsida; Poales; Poaceae
Exons: 2
Source: RefSeq, a predicted model, not a curated record